Molecule: non-coding RNA, 447 nt
Organism: Pimephales promelas (fathead minnow)
Lineage: Eukaryota; Metazoa; Chordata; Actinopteri; Cypriniformes; Leuciscidae
Source: RefSeq, a predicted model, not a curated record
AUGCCAGUACACAUAUACUAUGGCAUUUUUAUAAAAUGUAUGAUUCAGGUUUUUCUGACUUUCAUACUUCCAUUGUAAUAUAUCAUCUAAAUUACACAUUAUCCUGUUAUCCGUUUCCUUAAUAAAACAUCAACAGACAGGUGCCAUGGUUGGCUAGAAUGGGCACACCCACUCAGGCAGAGGAUAUAAGACACAUUUCUCUAAUUUUACAGGACUUUGUGUCUGCGUGCUAUAGAGACGCAUUUAGUGUGAUCGGGUUGAUCAGCCUCAGAUCAUACUCUGCAAAAGUGCUAAAGUUCAACAGAACAUGGAAUGAAUGACGGACAGUUUACUUUGUGAGUAUUAAAACGCUUAUGUGUUCAAUGCACUUUUGAGUAGAAACAUUGCUUAUUCAUUCAUUAGGAUUAUAACGUUUUCUAAAAAGUAUCUGAGCUAUAAAUGCAAAUA